UACGUAGGGUGCGAGCGUUGUCCGGAAUUACUGGGCGUAAAGAGCUCGUAGGUGGUUUGUCGCGUUGUCCGUGAAAACUCACAACUCAAUUGUGGGCGUGCGGGCGAUACGGGCAGACUGGAGUACUGCAGGGGAGACUGGAAUUCCUGGUGUAGCGGUGGAAUGCGCAGAUAUCAGGAGGAACACCGGUGGCGAAGGCGGCGCUCUGGGCCGGUACUGACGCUGAGGAGCGAAAGCGUGGGGAGCAAACAGG
RNAcentral lists this ribosomal RNA (253 nucleotides) under uncultured bacterium. Its description in RNAcentral is "partial 16S ribosomal RNA". It matches the Rfam family "Bacterial small subunit ribosomal RNA", at positions 524 to 776 of the family's 1533-position model. The record is from RNAcentral.